This 71-nucleotide transfer RNA is filed under the name Aerospiza castanilius. RNAcentral's name for it is "Accipiter castanilius tRNA-Gln". It matches the Rfam family "tRNA". Rfam says of the family: Transfer RNA (tRNA) molecules are approximately 80 nucleotides in length. The record is from RNAcentral. Lineage: Eukaryota; Metazoa; Chordata; Aves; Accipitriformes; Accipitridae.
UAGGAAAUAAUAUAAAGGAAGUAUGGAGGGUUUUGAUCUCUUCUGUGUAGGUUCGACCCCUACUUUCCUAA